AGUCAUGAACUGUAGCCACAGCUGGAACUAUUGGAACAUUCCAGGAGAUGAAAACAAAGAUUCCCUCCUCCUUCCCUUCCAUCUUACUGAGGACCCAUCAGUCACCCUUGUGAGUGCACUUUAGCCAUAGCAAGAGCAAGAUCAGAGAGAAAUAAGGACUUAUGACCAUUAGACCAGGAGACAGGAAGCGAUGGUUCUGGAAGGGGCUCUGUUACUAACUUUGGAAUUCAACUGUCCAGAUAGAAAGGUGGACAUGGAAAAAUUGGGCUUUGCAAAUGGUCACCCAAUUCUUGCCUUCCUGGUCUCCAGAUCACCCUUCCUAUACCGCCACUCUGGAGAAAGAAGUACAGAACGCUAACAAGGAUGGCUUGGAGUUGCAGUGGUCACCUCAGAUCUUAAGGUCACUUUGGAGAUGGAACCCCUGUGACUAGGAAUGGCAGAACAGAAAGGUAGAAAGAGAUUGAGUCCUGGGGAUGUGGCAGAGCCACCAUCCUAGCCCCGUACUGCGUACUUCUGGACUUCCUUUAAAUUGAGAGAAACAUGUUCCUACCAUAUUUAACCAUUUGGUGUUCUAAACCCCAUUCCUAGCUCUGGAAUGCCCUGGCAGAGCUGGUGCUGGCUGGGACCCCAGUGGUCCUUGGUGACCUUGCUCAGCAGUGCUCUUUCCACAAAUGACCCCACUACUAUCAUGUGCAGAACUAUCUUGGUGUGUGUGUGUGCAUGAGCAGACAUCCACAGCCAAGUAAUUUUCAAAGCUGUCAGCUCUGCUCUCCUGUAGCCUCCUGCUCCCCACUGCCUUCUCAUUUCCACCAGAGGAAGGUGAGGCUGCUGGUGAGGAGCUUUUUCCUUUUCCCUUUUCUGAAUUGUUUACUAUAUUAAACACUCAAUAUCCACUGCCCAGAAUAUUAUUAUGCUAAUAUUUCUCUGAUUUAUUUUUACUUUUAUUUGUAAUUAAAGAAAUAAAACACUAUAGGUACUAUCGCACCCUUUUUAUCCUUUCUGUGAGCCUAUUCUACUCCUUCUUCCAAAAAGGCAUUCUCUUGAACUUGCAUGCAUUCUGUGUUUUUAUGCUUCUAUUAUGCAUAUGUCUGAAUCCAUACGUGAUUGAUAACAUUGUUUUAUAUGUUUUAAAUAUGUGUGUAAAUGGUAUAUUAAUGUGGUUUGAUUUUUUACACAGACCUUGGAUUUUUUCAAGAUCAUCCUUCUUGAUGCCUGCAUCUAGCUCACGGGAACUCACUGCUGUGCCUGUACAGUGUUUUCCCAUUGCUCUAUUGAUGAACAUUUAAAUUGUUUUCCAAUUUUCAAUAUUGUAAAUAAUGCAAUAAUAAACAUCCUCUUACCUGUCCUAUUACACACCGGAGUAAGAGUUUUUCUAGGGAUUAUAUUUAGACAUAAAACUAGUUGUCAUAGGGUAUGUAUAUCCUUACUUUUACAAGGUAUUUCUAAAUUGCCCUCUAAAGAGAUAAAAACAAUUUGGACUUCCUCUAGGAUGGCAGUGCCCAUUUCCCAUAAAAACUUGGCAUUGCUGAACCUUUCAAUUUUUGACAGUUGAAUAGGUGUGAAAUGCUAUCUAUUUGCUUUUUAAUGGGCAUUUCCCUGAUUAUCAGUGAGGUAGGCCAUCUUUUCAUAUUUUUAUAGGCCAUUUUGAUUUCCAUUUCUGUGAACUGCCUGCUUUAAUAUUUUGUUUUUCUGUUGGGCUGUUUGUCUUUUACUUAUUGUUGUCCCCAUCUGACUCCCUAUCCCAUAUACACACAUUUUUGGAGAUUAACCCUUUUUAGGUCACAUGCAUUGCAAACUUCUCCUCCAAAUCUCUCACCUGUCUUUUAGCUUUGUUUAUGGUGACUUUGUUCCUACAAGACUAUAAACUUGGUCUUAAAUUUUAACAUAGUCAAAUUUAUUGAUCUUUUUCAUUACUUUUGUGUUCUUAAAAUUUUUUCUUAAUCAGAUAUUAUUAAACUAUCUUCCUGAAUAUUCUUUGAAUAGUUUAAAAGAUAAUUUUUUACUUUAACUUUUAAUCCAUCUGGAAUUUAUUUGCAAUAUUUUGUGUUAUUUUGCAUAUGAAAUUGAGCUCUAAUGUUAAUUUUCCAAUAUGAAGAGCCAAUUUCUGUGACACUAUGUAUCAAACAGUCUAUUCCUUCCCCACUUAGUUGUAAUCACCCCAUCAUGUACCAGUUUUCCAAAAUGCCUGGGUCUCUUUCUAGACUUUCUAGUUUAUUCCACUGGUCUCUCUAUCCCUAUACUUCUCUUGCACAAUUUUUUUCCUGUGCUUUGAUGUCUACAGUGUAAAUUCAUCUUCUUCAUAGUCAGUCUUUUUCAAAUUUCUUUGGACUGUUCUUGGCCCUUUGGCUUUCAAAUGAAUUUUGAUUAAUCUUUUAAUAAAAUGCUUCCCUCCUACCUCAUUCGACACAUACUUCUCUCCCAUCUCAUUCCUAUUCUGAAGGCUACUGCCCUCAAAGAUCUAGUUUCCAGCCUUGAAUCUGCCACCAAAUGCCCGUCUAUUCUUGUGCAAGUCCCCUAAUCUCUCUGGGUUUCAGUUUCCUCACCUGUCAGGUCUGCUUUGCCUAUAUCACAGGAUUGCUGAGCUGAUGAAAUGAGAUAAAGAUGAGAGAUGCUUUGAACAGUUCAAAACACCAAGUUAAAGAGUUAAAAACAAUAAUCUCUAUGUGAUCUGAGACAAAAUGUGAAAUUCAGAUUAUUUCUCCCCCAGUUUUUUCUACACUUUGUGACACUCCUUUCUGUCAAACUUCCAGUGUUUUGCAUCUUCCAGUGAGAUGCGAAGGUCUUCUGUUCAGGGUAGAAUUAUUAUGUUGAUGGGCUGGGGACAGCUGGGAUUUAUAUGCCCUGGGUCCCAUUUUGGAUUCUCUCUUUGUGACUUAAUGUAAGGCACUUAAACUCUUUGAAUCUCAAUUUCUUCACCUUUAAGAAGAAUAUUAAAAAUUCUCUCCCCCAAGUAGUAUUGUGUUUUUGUUUUUGUUUUUGAGACAGAGUCUUGCUCUGUUGACCAGGCGGGAGUGCAGUGGUACGAUCUCGGCUCACUGCAAUGUCUGUCUCCUGGAUUCAAGCAAUUCUCAUGCCUCGGCCUCCCAAGUAGCUGAGACCACAGGAGCACACCACCACACCUAGAUAGUUUUUGUAUUUUUAGUAGAGACAGGUUUUCCCUAUGUUGGCCAGGCUGGUCUUGAACUCCUCACCUCAAAUGAUCUGCUGGCCUCAGCCUCUCAAAGUGCUGGGAUUAUAAGUAGCAUUGUGAAAUUCAAGAGAUUUAGUAUAGGUUAACUGUUACAUAAAAUGUGAAGCCCUAUAAGAAUCAUGAGCCAUUAUUAUGAAUGUUCUUGCUGACAUAUGCAUGCAGAAAGGACUUACAGAAAGGCAAUGAUGUUUCUCACCACUUGAAUCGAACCAUGUAGGAUAAUCAAAACCAUUUUUGUCUACAAGUAUGGUUGGCCCAGUGCAAUGUCUUCACAGUCUUCUAGAAGAUGCAGGAAAUCUUUUUCAAAAAUAAUAUGUCCUUUAGGCUUUGCAGCCUGGAUGUGUGGAAAAGUGGAGGUAGCUGGGGAGUUCGUCUUGUCCAUCUGGACAAACAGGAAGAACUAUCCUUAUGCAGUGCUGGCUCACCACUGACCCGAGGGAGUGAGAACGUGGGGACUAAAGGGUGGGAACAAAUCAGUCUUUGUACCUUCCUUGCUGAGUGUGGAUACCAUUCAGUUAGAUUGAACAUUGAGGUCAGCCCUGAUGUAAUGUGAGAGCACUUCCCCUGGAGUGAGCAGAUGGUUUUGCCUUCCCAGCCCCUUAAAUGUUUUUAACCCUUGCUACUCAGGUGACCAGAGCAUCUUCAUUUCCUGCACCAGGAUCAGACUUGGGCUUGAGCCAAUGACAUUCAUGGGCCAGAUGACCCAAAGCUGUAGUCCACCUGCUUACUGUAACACAGAAUGCCCUUUUCCCCACUAAGUUCUUACCCUUUCCUCAGUUCUGUUGAAAUAAGAUUUCUGACCUGUUCUUUAGCCACUUCCAUGGCUGACCAUGAACUCUACUCUUUUGACCACCAGUACCUGCUGAAAGUUGCUGGAAUCCUUCUAAGCCAAUAUCAGGACUACCUGUCCUGCCCUGCCCUGCCCUCAGCCUCUGCCAAUGCCACUUCUUUGCUGUUGUUUGGGCAGAACCCUGGAUUUGGAUGUUGGUUUGGAUCUUAGUCCCCAGAACUUACAAUCUGCUUGUUUUUUUCCUCUGGGGUCCACACCAUAUCCAACCCAAUCUCAUCAUUCUGCCAUGCUCACGUUAUCCCUGCCUGCUCUUGCUCUCAUGUUCAUACAUCCUCAAAGAGUCCACUCUCCUUCAAGGCCAUACCUCAUUUCUCCUUACACUAUAGAUGAAACACAUGACUAUUUUCCUUCUGAUUCCUAAGUUCUGAGUCUAGGACCACUUUGUAAUCAGGUUUAAUUCCAGACCACAGCUGACCUUUUAUUUUUUUCACAUGUAAAAGUGAAGCUUAGGUACAGGUAUUCUAGAAGUAGCUGUGAUUAUUUGCUUAAAUCAUCUUUCAUGAAUGAAGGACAUAUUACCCUAGCUAUUGGGAGUUGACCUCGGAGAAGAAAGCUGACUUAGUUACACCAGCAAUUCUCCCCAACACACAUACACAGGGCAGCCCGUAUCCUGUGACUGCUUGAUGUGGUCAUAGCAAUCAGAGAAAGAGUUUAAAGUCUCAGCCCCUCUUGAUAACUCUGAGAGGCCAUCCCAUUUUAGGUAUCCCCAAGGGGUCAGCUGGACCUUGUGAUGAGCCCAAAGUCCAGCUCCUCCCUCUGCCUAUUCUGCCUCUUUUAAUUCCACUCCUCUGCAGUGGCUGAUCCCGAAAGCCCUCUUACUUCCAACACACACACCUUCAUCUCAGAGUUUGAUGCUUGGGGACCCCAACCUGCAACAGGUAUCCACAACUAUUUCCUUGCUCAACCAACCAACUCUCUACUGACUCACCAUCUUUCCUCCCCAUGGUAGGCAGAAUAAUGCCCAUCUCUACUCAAAGAUGCCUGUGCCCUAAUCCCCAGGAACUUGCGAAUGUGUUGCCUUAUAUGUCAAGAGGGACUUUGCGGAUGUAAUUAAAAGUCAUUGAACUCAAGAUAGGGAGAUUAUUCUGCAUCAUUCAGGUGGAUCCAGCCUAAUCAUAUGAGCCCUUAAAAGUGGAAAACCUUUCUUGGCUGUGGCCAGAGAUGGACUACAGAAGAAUGGUCAGGGAGAUGCAAUGUUGCUGCCUUUGAAGAUGGAGGAAGGAGCCAUCAGCCAAGGAAUGCAGGCAACCUCUAGAAGCUGGAAAGGGCAAGGAAAUAGAUUCUUUUCAGAGUCUCCAGAAAGGAGCCCAGCACUGCUGGUACCUUGAUUUUAGUCCAGUGUGACCCUUGUCAGACCUCUGACCUACAGAACUGUAUGUAAAACAAUGAAUUUGUGUUGCUUUAAGCCACUAAAGUUUGCAAUAAUUAAUUAUAGCAGCAAUGGGAAACUGAUACAGUCCCUUAGGAGUCAUCUUAAUACUUGCUCUUUUGCAUGAUCUUGGACAUGCCCUUCACUGGUCUGAGCCUUAAUUUUCUCACCUGUAAAACGACAAUUUUAGACUACAUGCUCCAAAGCCUUUUUCAACCUGACAUUUUUUCAUUCUAACUAUAUGGAUUACCUACUUUGCAACAUUUAUCUUUUUAUUCUAGCAAGGCAGAGUUUACUUGUCUUUUUGAUGAUUAUUCUGGGAAAACCUAUUUGAGAUGCUGCAGGAAGCAACAGAAUGGCCAUACAACAGGAUGAGGAGUGAGAUACUCUUUUUCUUUGUCUAACUCUUCUGGUCUGUCUUUAUGUUGAUUUCUAAAUUUUCUAUUCUGUAACUCCUUAUGGCCAUGGGAAAAAUGCUUCUCAGCUGGUGACCAAUUUAUUAAACAAAGCUAGAUGGCUAAUAGAUUUUGUCAUUUUGCUUUUUGCUAGUGGACCUGCAAAUACAUUUUUAUUUUUUGGUUAUGCUGAAAAUAAUUUGUGAAAAAUGGUAGUUACCAUGCUUUUAAGUGGGAUCAAAGGUAGCAGUGUUCUGACUGCUGGUUAAAGUUAACUCAGCCUCUAGGAAAAUCCACCACUUUUCAGAUUAAAAAAAAAAAAGUCCCUAGCCUGAAUUUUGUCAGGAGAAUGUAUAAUAAAAUGCCACUGUAAUUAAAAUACUUAUAAACCCGCAAGACACAGCUGUUGUGAAAGGAAAACAGGAUGCUAAAAUGGGAUAAAAGGAGACCCUUGUCUGGCUCCUUUGCCCUCCCAGUGGGUAUCUAAUACAGUUGCCAUUAACUGCUCUGUGUUAAGAAAAGCUGAGCUGACCCCAAAACAAUAAUGGCAGUAGCAGAAUUCUAAUGAUGACUUUCUUCCACACUUAUCUAGAUGGUAUGCUUUUCAAAGCACUUUCUGUCUACUCACUGAUUUGAGCCUCAAGUUCUCAGUAUUUCCCUAAGAAAGUAGGGGAAGUAGAGAGGGUGAACAUCAUCCACUUGAUUUGACAGAUGAGAAAAACAUGGCUUCCUUGGAGUCUAAAUUAAACUUGUGUCAUCACAGCAGCCAACAGCAGGUCUGGGGCCGGGGGCUGGUCUCCGUGUUGAGGUCUAGGUUGACUAUAGCUCAUUGCUCCUGGCAGUUGGAGUCACCCAACACAGGGUCAAACACAGUCUCCAAAGACUUUACACUGCAAACCUAGAGCCACUGUAACAGUUCUUUUUGCACUCAGUAACAAAAAAAAAAGUCACUGGAAAAUUAUUCACUAAAGUUAGCUAGGAAAAGACCAAAGAGUUGAAGGGAAGAAAAAACUAUAAGAAACCAAGAAGUGGAUUUCAGACUGUCACCUGCCUACUAGGGUUUGUGAUGCUGGCCACACAGUGUUGUUUCCAAACAUACCAAACUGGAGGGCACCCAUUUUCUUCCCUCUUGGGGCCCCACUCACAUUCCUUGGAGAAAUUUCCAAGAACCCUCUACAUUAUGGCCUCUAUAAACUGAAAUCACCAACAUUAAUACUAUUUGCUCCUCCUCACCAACCCAGGUGCAAUUAGGCUGACCAGCCUUGAAAAAAGUAAGAUGACCUGAGGUCAGUAGCAUGUAGUGGAAUAAAAAAGAAUAAUUUUCCUAGAUAUCCCAACUCAUUUGAACAAUGAGGAAUUGAGACUAAGUCUCUUCAAAGAUUCCAUUUAUUUUGGUAAGAUGCCAUUUUACAUUUAGUGUAGUAAUACAAUUUUGACUUAAAAGGCCAGGGUUUGAGAACCAAGUGGCCAGUUUGACUGGGCUAUCAUGUGAUCAUCAUGGUCAUUAUCCCUUGGUCUCCUUGAGGGUCAGUUCUUUCAUCUAUAAAAUAGAUAUGAUCAUAGCGAAUCUCCUUUUCACUAUACAAGGUUGUCAUGAGAAUCAAAUAAAUAAAUGCUAAAGCACUACACAAGAGAUGUUAUGAUUUUAUCUUUGGCAGUAGUGCUAAUCAUUAUAAUAGCAGCCUAUUAAUAACAAUGAUAUUACAAGAAACAGCAAUUGUGGUAGUGUUGGUAAGGUACUUCUGGAAUUAUUUAUAUAUGUGGCUACUUGCUGGAAAAGCCACCCAUGUGUUGAGAUAAUGUGUAUUGUGCUCUUUCUUGAAUUAUCUCCUUGGGACUUUACAACCCUAAGAGGUAUAUCUUAUUACUGUCAUUACACACACGCACACUCAAAAAAAGAAAAACCAACCAACCAGUCAACAAACAAAAAGCUAAAGCAGAGAGAGAGAGAGAGACAGUGAGUUAGUUUGAAAGCUAGUAUCUUGAAACCCCAGUGAGUUCUGCUGACUUCCAGCACUGGCAGGCACACCUACCACUUCCAGUGGAGAACAACCUUGAAACCUAGAAUCUUUAGGACCUUGUUGCCAGUGGCUUAUUGCCUUAACCAUGAGAAGGGGAUAUAGCUGGCAUUAGAAGUUCCUCCAUAUAGGGAAGAACAAUUGACCAUUCAAAGAGUCAUUGAUAAGUUAACUAAUCCCUGCUCUGUGAGAUAUAUAUGAAUGCCAGUAAAAGUUUCCUCAGCAAGAAGGUUCUAAUGCUAUGAUCUUUCCUGACAGCACUCACAGUGUGUGCUACCCUUCUGCAUGGUGGAAUUGUGGGGAAGUAACUACUAGCCAGAGACUACCUCAAGGCCUCUUUCAUCAAGGAGAGGCCCAUAUGAUUAGUUUUCACCAGUGAGGUAUGAAUGAAAGUGAUGUGUGCCAAUUUUAGGCCAAGUUGGGUAGGAAGUGGGGGUGUCAUCUUCAUUUUCUCCUUCCCAAUCAACCCAGCUAGAUACAGAGGACCUAACAUACAACUCAGAGUCCCUAGAAGAUGGAGAAAACACAGACAAUUGGCAGAGGAGAUGAGCAUGUGAUUAUUGUUACCACUUGUCUGGAAGCAACCAGAAUGGAGUGGGGAAGACUCAAGGAGGAGAUCUUCACAGGACUCACCUCUCAUCACAGCUCCCGUGUGGUUGUAAUCACCCCAGAGGGAAAAAUAAUUUCGGUUUUUUAUGGUUUAAUUAUUGGUGAUAGCAGCUGUUUUGAAGACACAAACACAGAAGCAAGUUCUAGAACAUACUCACAGUUUCCUUGGUCACAGUGUUGUCAGUGGUUCUAUAAAGGUCUUAUGAAUCUCUACUUAGUUGACCACAAGUAGUAAGCAAGAAACAAUCCUGUAAAGAGAAUGGAGGUCAGAAUAAAGAAGCCUUGAGGGUUUAAAUCGCUUCUUGAAAAGAAAUGCCCGUGUGUCAAGGAGCUAAGGGAGACCAGCCCAGGAGGAGCUGAAUCCUGCCAACAAUCACUUGAGUGAACUUGAGAGUGAAUCCUCUCCAUGUUAAGCCUUGAGGUGAUUGUAGCUCCAUCAAAUACCUUCAUUGUAGCCUUGUGAGAGAUCUGAGUCAGAGGAUGGAGUUAAGCCAAGCCCAGAUUCCAGACCCUCAGAAACUUGAAAGCGGAAUACCUGGUUAUCCGGAGGUCACUGUCUCCACACAGAGUGGUGUCCUUGAUGCUAGCUUGGGGCAAAGAAGCCAGGCAAUCAAGGCUUUAAAUGCGUGGAUUUAUCAUCACCUCAAAUCGCCUGUCACUGUGAUGGAACAAAAAUAGAAAGUUGGGCUAAUAUCUUCCUGCUAGCAUGUUUCCAUCUGUGAGUUUGAUCAAAGCAACUUUAUCUGCGAAAUUUUGAAGAAUCAGCUUCAUCUCCACUUGGCAGCAUGUGGUAAAUGAAGGUAUUUCUGAGUCAGCUGGUUUCUGAGAACCUAAAAACCCAGGAGAAAGAUAUAAGGAGGCAAGGACGCUCAUUCUUCCAUAACCUAUAGGAAACCCAGUUUCAUCAUAAAUAUAUGAAAUCUCGGUAGCAUCCUCCAAAUCCAUAAGGGGGUAGACUGCUCUGAUGAAGCACAUCCAGUCCAUCAGCAGCCUGAAUGCUUUUGUAUCAAUAAGUAUUCCACCAGAUACCAGCUGAGCCAGUUCCCUCAAUUGUGAGAGACAUACUCCAGCAAGGAAGACAACCAAGACCAAGAAGUCACAGAGUCUGAAUGGGUUAUGAAUUUUCUUUGUGUUUGGCAUCCUGCAAGCUCCACAGGAGCAGGCACACAUGCCUGUUUUGUUCCUCUCCAUGAAGUUCGUGCCUAGCACAAAGUAAGUGCUCAAUAAAUUAUUGAGUGAAUGAAUUAAUUGUCUAACAAGACACUUAACACACAUGAUCUUAUUGGAUUCUGCAGCAACCCUAGAGGGUACAUAUAGUAAGAAGUUCCUAUAAUGACCAUUGCCUAGGCAAGAUUACAAAGAUUACUAUGGAGGAAUGAUCUCACAAGGUCACAGAGCUAGAAAAAGGCAGAAUUGGGACCUAUACCCAGAAUUUCUAACUCUAGCUCUGUAAAGCUGGGACACUGGAGAAGCAGAGGUUUUGGUGUAGUACUCCUCUGAGCUCGGGGUCUUAGAAGUCCACAUGGGGCUGCUGGAGUGGUGAGGGGAGAUGGAGGUGGGAAGAAGGGAGAAGACCCCUAUUCCCCUAUUCUCUUUCAAUCAGAGAGGAUUCCUCGACUUAUUUACCUGCCUGUGAUCUCAUCUGAAGAGAAUUCUAUGACCCCCCAAAAUCUGCGAUUCACUCUGUUCCAGUUCUGUUACUCUUUAUAUCUGGAGCUAGAACUGGGCUUCAGAUCACUGUCACAAGAGGUGACCAGAGAAU
Molecule: long non-coding RNA, 10193 nt
Organism: Homo sapiens (human)
Lineage: Eukaryota; Metazoa; Chordata; Mammalia; Primates; Hominidae
Gene: SLC14A2-AS1
Product: SLC14A2 antisense RNA 1
Exons: 11
Source: RefSeq, marked validated